This is a small nucleolar RNA of Phragmites australis (common reed), 139 nucleotides long. RefSeq annotates it as small nucleolar RNA Z247. The record is from RefSeq and is a predicted model, not a curated record. NCBI's taxonomy places the organism in Eukaryota, Viridiplantae, Streptophyta, Magnoliopsida, Poales, Poaceae. The transcript has a single exon.
CCACUUGAAGAUGAGGAGUUGAUCUCCUACAUGAUGUGUGGCCUUGACACAGAGUACUACUCCCCGGUGAUGAGCAUCACAACAUGUAUCGAUCCAAUCUCCAUCAACGACCUGUACAUGCACAUACUAAGUUUUCAGC